CACGAAUUCAUAAUUAUAUGUUGCAAAUUCAUUAACUGGUCACAUAACGUUAAAUUAAUUGAUCACAGAUUAUUUUAUGGUCACAAAUCAAAAAAUUUAUUGGUUACAGGUUAUUUCGAAAAUUAUUUCGAGAUCAUAGAUCAUUCAAAUUACAGGUCAAAUUUUUAUCUAUUGGUCACAGACGCGUAAAUAGUUGGUUACAAACGCCUAAAUGUUGGUCACAGACACCCUCACCCACCUGCCACCACUGCAACAACAACUACCAACAUUAUCAACAACACAACAAUAAUUGGUCACCACCACCGUCAACAACUUCACGUGUACCUCCAACAAAUAUUGCCGUCAGAUCCAUCAUCACCGCCAACAUCUCUACCUGUACAACCAACAAAAACUAUCUAAAAUCCCCCAACAACACAAAAACCACUCCCAAACCACCACAACACGACGCCACCAUUGCUGAAAGCUAUAGUAGACCCAAACCACCACCACCACCACAAGCAGUGUAAACACCACCACUACACGUCGACACUGCCAUCACUGAAAAUCACAGUAGCCCCAAACCACCUCUACCACUACCACAUCCCGACGCCGACACUACUGAAAAUCACACCGGAGAUCAUAACGACCAAGUUUUUGACACCACAAUGCUUACACUCCUGACAAGCAGCCUCCACCACCACCACACCCCAACGUCUCCAUCUUCGAAAAUCACAGCAGUCCCAAAUCACCACUGAAAACCAAGCAGUCCCAAACCACUACUACCACCAUCACACCUCGACGCCGCCACACUAGUUGCUAUGGUGACCGCACCUGGGGAGAGAAAAAGGCAUCGCCGUUGGGUGGUAGUGAUUGACAAGGAUACAGUGAAGUUAGAGAGAGACGAGAGAAGUGAGAGAAGGAAGAUGGAUUAAAAAUGAUUAGGGUUUGGGAGUUAAUUUGGAUAUUUAAUUAUUAUAUCAAUACCUGAUUUUUG
Molecule: long non-coding RNA, 973 nt
Filed under: Olea europaea subsp. europaea
Lineage: Eukaryota; Viridiplantae; Streptophyta; Magnoliopsida; Lamiales; Oleaceae
Source: RNAcentral